This 468-nucleotide ribosomal RNA is filed under the name uncultured bacterium. RNAcentral describes it as "partial 16S ribosomal RNA". It matches the Rfam family "Bacterial small subunit ribosomal RNA", at positions 28 to 507 of the family's 1533-position model. The record is from RNAcentral.
GACGAACGCUGGCGGCGUGCUUAACACAUGCAAGUCGAACGGAAAGGCCCGGCUUUUGUGGGGUGCUCGAGUGGCGAACGGGUGAGUAACACGUGAGUAACCUGCCCUUGACUUUGGGAUAACUUCAGGAAACUGGGGCUAAUACCGGCUAGGAGCUCCUGCUGCAUGGUGGGGGUUGGAAAGUUUCGGCGGUUGGGGAUGGACUCGCGGCUUAUCAGCUUGUUUGUGCGGUAGUGGCUUACCAAGGCUUUGACGGGUAGCCUGCCUGCGAGGGUGACCGGCCACGUUGGGACUGAGAUACGGCCCAGACGCCUACGGGAGGCAGCAGUGGGGAAUAUUGCACAAUGGGCGGAAGCCUGAUGCAGCAACGCCGCGUGCGGGAUGACGGCCUGCGGGUUGUAAACCGCUUUCGCCUGUGACGAAGCGUGAGUGACGGUAAUGGGUAAAGAAGCACCGGCUAACUACGUG